GAUGAACGCUGAUAGAAUGCUUAACACAUGCAAGUCUUUGGCGAAGCUGUGCUUGCACAGCCUAGCCAAGGCGGACGGGUGAGUAACGCGUAAGGAACUUGCCCUGCAGUCAGGGAUAACAGACGGAAACGACUGAUAAGACCUGGUAAAGUCAGGCGGACUCAUGUCCAGCCUGAUGAAAAGAGAUGCUGCAGGAGAGCCUUGCGUCCUAUUAGCUUGUUGGUGGGGUAACGGCCCACCAAGGCGAUGAUAGGUAGCCGGCCUGAGAGGGUGGACGGCCACAAGGGGACUGAGAUACGGCCCUUACUCCUACGGGAGGAAGCAGUGGGGAAUAUUGGACAAUGGGGGCAACCCUGAUCCAGCAAUUCUGUGUGCACGAUGAAGGUUUUCGGAUUGUAAAGUGCUUUCAGCAGGGAAGAAAAAAUGACGGUACCUGCAGAAGAAGCGACGGCUAAAUACGUG
RNAcentral lists this ribosomal RNA (462 nucleotides) under uncultured bacterium. RNAcentral's name for it is "partial 16S ribosomal RNA". It matches the Rfam family "Bacterial small subunit ribosomal RNA", at positions 28 to 507 of the family's 1533-position model. The record is from RNAcentral.